This is a long non-coding RNA of Conger conger (European conger), 1101 nucleotides long. RefSeq lists it as uncharacterized. Lineage: Eukaryota; Metazoa; Chordata; Actinopteri; Anguilliformes; Congridae. The transcript has 3 exons. The record is from RefSeq and is a predicted model, not a curated record.
UGGUUCUGAAAAUAGGUUUUGAAUAUACUUAUUAAUGAAUCGUAUUACUGAAAAGCCUGGAAUAUUCACAGUGAGGGGAAUAUAAAGAGUGCAAUACGAAGGAUUUCAACGAAUCUAAGAAGCAAGGAAAAGUAGAUUUUGUCAGCAGAAUAAUGUUAUUCGCAUUACUGUUUUACAGUCACUGUCACAAAAAUGCUUUCGACAAAAAACGUCUAAAUUAACUACGUUUCAUGCGGUUCAUACAGUCACCGCAAUUGGGGGUUUUCCUGCACAAACAUGCUAUUAAACGUUUGUGAAGGAGAAAACAAACACUUGCAUUUAAUGUUGGACAAAUUUAACCACAAACAUCGAGUGAAUGCAGUUCUGUGUGGUUGAGGGGCAUGAGUUCUUUACGGUGUGUAGUUCCAGGAGGCAGGAGUGAGGCUUCGUGGAAGUGAAUCUACCUCAUCCCCCUGUUGCCUGAGGGUUGACACUGAUGCGGGCGGAGGUGACACAGGGAGAGGACGGACUGUGGGAGGUCAGAGGUCAGAGGGGGUGAGGCUGGCACAAACGCCCGGGCUUGCAGCUUGCGUGUCGCUAGGUCCGCACCCAGCUGACGGGGACCCAGAAGGCCUCUCGCUCCAGACGGUCCAGAAUGCACUGCAGCUCUGCGCUUGUGCUGGCGACAUCCCCCCUCACCAGGACUCGGUCUACCAGGUGACCGUACUGCUGGUCAAUCUGUUGCGCUGACUGCUGUAUUUCCUCAAUCUCUUCAUCCUGAUUGGCAGAGAAUGAGAGGGUCAUGGUCAGGGCUGUGUUCAGUCAGUGGAUGGCAGCUCUAUCACCAAAUCUAUCACCAAGUGCAUGAUGGGAGAUGAAGUCCAGAGCUUCAACUUUAUGUUUUAGUGUGCUUUGAGGCUCUCCUCCCCACAAAUUUAUUUAACCUAUUUAUUUAUUUUAGUGGAACGCUGGCCAAGAGAGCAAAUACAAUACCUAAAAUAUAAGACAAAAAGUUGUUACAACAAACAUGUAGCGGCAGAAUAAAUCACAGAAACUCCUUGAAAAGCAAUCCUUGUAGAACAACCUCCUACAAUGUAAGGCAAUUCUAGUGCUGCAUUUCCU